Molecule: long non-coding RNA, 542 nt
Organism: Cucumis melo (muskmelon)
Lineage: Eukaryota; Viridiplantae; Streptophyta; Magnoliopsida; Cucurbitales; Cucurbitaceae
Exons: 4
Source: RefSeq, a predicted model, not a curated record
GUUGGAGCAAAUUCGGAUAUUCAUUUGGUGCUUUUUGAUGAAGAAAACAGGGCAGUUGGUUUUCACUCGAAAUCAGGAGGUCUCUGGUUUUUCUUGUAUUUCAGAGUAUAUCGGUGGAGUUAGAAUCUCUAUUUGGAACAAGUUAAAGAGGUCGUGUGCACGCGAUUCUGGAAGUGGUUCUAUUUUGAGGGUUAUAUGUGUUUAUGCACGGGGAAUCAGAUUUAUAUGUCUUCAGGCCGAGAAGAAUUAAACAGAGCUUAUAGACCAAGGAUCUAGCCCAAGACUGUAGAGAUCGACUUCCCGGUGCCUGAUAGACUGCCUUAGUCUGCGGAAACUUCAUUAUCGAUUGCCAGUACGUGUUUUGAGUUGGGCAUAAAGUCUGUUGUGUUGUGAUGUAUUCACACCCUUGUAUGUUAUAUAUACUCCACAGUUUGUAUAAGCUUUAGGAGCUUUAGUUGUGUAAAUUUUGUUGGUUAUAUUUUGAUUAAGGUGUCUUUAGGUUUACUCGUGAAAUCGGUAAAUUUUGAGGUACAUUUCAUGUA